AGUGAACGCUGGCGGUAGGCCUAACACAUGCAAGUCGAACGGCAGCACAGUAAGAGCUUGCUCUUACGGGUGGCGAGUGGCGGACGGGUGAGGAAUACAUCGGAAUCUACUUUUUCGUGGGGGAUAACGUAGGGAAACUUACGCUAAUACCUCAUACGACCUACGGGUGAAAGCAGGGGAUCUUCGGACCUUGCGCGUUUGAAUGAGCCGAUGUCGGAUUAGCUAGUUGGCGGGGUAAAGGCCCACCAAGGCGACGAUCCGUAGCUGGUCUGAGAGGAUGAUCAGCCACACUGGAACUGAGACACGGUCCAGACUCCUACGGGAGGCAGCAGUGGGGAAUAUUGGACAAUGGGCGCAAGCCUGAUCCAGCCAUACCGCGUGGGUGAAGAAGGCCUUCGGGUUGUAAAGCCCUUUUGUUGGGAAAGGAAAGCAGCAGGUUAAUACCCCGCUGUUCUGACGGUACCCAAAGAAUAAGCACCGGCUAACUUCGUG
This 492-nucleotide ribosomal RNA is filed under the name uncultured bacterium. RNAcentral describes it as "partial 16S ribosomal RNA". It matches the Rfam family "Bacterial small subunit ribosomal RNA", at positions 29 to 507 of the family's 1533-position model. The record is from RNAcentral.